Molecule: ribosomal RNA, 433 nt
Filed under: uncultured bacterium
Lineage: Bacteria
Description: partial 16S ribosomal RNA
Rfam family: Bacterial small subunit ribosomal RNA
Source: RNAcentral
AACGAACGCUGGCGGCAUGCCUAACACAUGCAAGUCGAACGAGACCUUCGGGUCUAGUGGCGCACGGGUGCGUAACGCGUGGGAACCUGCCCUUAGGUUCGGAAUAACUCCCCGAAAGGGGUGCUAAUACCGGAUAAUGUCUUCGGACCAAAGAUUUAUCGCCUUUGGAUGGGCCCGCGUUGGAUUAGCUAGUUGGUAGGGUAAAAGCCUACCAAGGCGACGAUCCAUAGCUGGUCUGAGAGGAUGAUCAGCCACACUGGGACUGAGACACGGCCCAGACGCCUGCGGGAGGCAGCAGUGGGGAAUAUUGGACAAUGGGCGAAAGCCUGAUACAGCAAUGCCGCGUGAGUGAUGAAGGCCUUAGGGUUGUAAAGCUCUUUUACCCGGGAUGAUAAUGACAGUACCGGGAGAAUAAGCGCCGGCUAACUCCGUG